RNAcentral lists this transfer RNA (72 nucleotides) under Ligilactobacillus agilis. Its description in RNAcentral is "tRNA-Arg". It matches the Rfam family "tRNA". Rfam says of the family: Transfer RNA (tRNA) molecules are approximately 80 nucleotides in length. Their secondary structure includes four short double-helical elements and three loops (D, anti-codon, and T loops). Further hydrogen bonds mediate the characteristic L-shaped molecular structure. tRNAs have two regions of fundamental functional importance: the anti-codon, which is responsible for specific mRNA codon recognition, and the 3' end, to which the tRNAs corresponding amino acid is attached (by aminoacyl-tRNA synthetases). tRNAs cope with the degeneracy of the genetic code in two manners: having more than one tRNA (with a specific anti-codon) for a particular amino acid; and 'wobble' base-pairing, i.e. permitting non-standard base-pairing at the 3rd anti-codon position. The record is from RNAcentral. Lineage: Bacteria; Bacillati; Bacillota; Bacilli; Lactobacillales; Lactobacillaceae.
GACAACAUAGUGUUAAGGGUAGCAUAUCGACUGGCGAAGUUGAUGGUAUGGGUUCGAUUCCCAUUGUUGUCG